UACGAAGGGGGCUAGCGUUGCUCGGAAUCACUGGGCGUAAAGGGUGCGUAGGCGGGUCUUUAAGUCAGGGGUGAAAUCCUGGAGCUCAACUCCAGAACUGCCUUUGAUACUGAGGAUCUUGAGUUCGGGAGAGGUGAGUGGAACUGCGAGUGUAGAGGUGAAAUUCGCAGAUAUCAGGAAGAACACCCGUGGCUAAGGCGGCUCUCUAGUACGGUACUGACGCUGAGACGCGAAAGCGUGGGGAGCGAACAGG
This 253-nucleotide ribosomal RNA is filed under the name uncultured bacterium. RNAcentral's name for it is "partial 16S ribosomal RNA". It matches the Rfam family "Bacterial small subunit ribosomal RNA", at positions 524 to 776 of the family's 1533-position model. The record is from RNAcentral.